UACGGAGGGUGCAAGCGUUAAUCGGAAUUACUGGGCGUAAAGCGCACGCAGGUGGCUGAGUCAGUCGAUUGUGAAAGCCCUGGGCUUAACCUGGGAAUUGCAGUCGAUACUACUCAGCUAGAGUAUGGGAGAGGGCAGUGGAAUUCCCGGUGUAGCGGUGAAAUGCGUAGAUAUCGGGAGGAACAUCAGUGGCGAAGGCGGCUGCCUGGCCCGGUACUGACGCUGAUGUGCGAAAGCGUGGGGAGCAAACAGG
This 253-nucleotide ribosomal RNA is filed under the name uncultured bacterium. Its description in RNAcentral is "partial 16S ribosomal RNA". It matches the Rfam family "Bacterial small subunit ribosomal RNA", at positions 524 to 776 of the family's 1533-position model. The record is from RNAcentral.